AGUCGAGCGGUACAGGCCUUCGGGUGCUGACGAGCGGCGGACGGGUGAGUAAUGCUUGGGAACUUGCCUUUCGGAGGGGGAUAACCAUUGGAAACGAUGGCUAAUACCGCAUAACGUCUACGGACCAAAGUGGGGGAUCUUCGGACCUCACACCGAGAGAUAGGCCCAAGUGAGAUUAGCUAGUUGGUGGGGUAAAGGCUCACCAAGGCGACGAUCUCUAGCUGUUCUGAGAGGAUGAUCAGCCACACUGGGACUGAGACACGGCCCAGACUCCUACGGGAGGCAGCAGUGGGGAAUAUUGCACAAUGGGGGAAACCCUGAUGCAGCCAUGCCGCGUGUGUGAAGAAGGCCUUCGGGUUGUAAAGCACUUUCAGUGGUGAGGAAGGCUAUCGUGUUAAUAGCGCGGUAGAUUGACGUUAGCCACAGAAGAAGCACCGGCUAACUCCGUGCCAGCAGCCGCGGUAAUACGGAGGGUGCGAGCGUUAAUCGGAAUUACUGGGCGUAAAGCGUACGUAGGCGGCUCAUUAAGCAAGAUGUGAAAGCCCCGGGCUCAACCUGGGAAUUGCAUUUUGAACUGGUGAGCUCGAGUUUUGAAGAGGGUGGUAGAAUUUCCAGUGUAGCGGUGAAAUGCGUAAAUAUUGGAAGGAAUACCAGUGGCGAAGGCGGCCACCUGGUCAAGAACUGACGCUGAGGUACGAAAGCGUGGGGAGCAAACAGGAUUAGAUACCCUGGUAGUCCACGCCCGUAACGAUGUCAACUAGUUGUUCGUUUCAUAAACGAAAUGGGUAACGCAGCUUACGCACUAAGUUGACCGCCUGGGGAGUAC
RNAcentral lists this ribosomal RNA (826 nucleotides) under uncultured Gammaproteobacteria bacterium. RNAcentral's name for it is "bacterial SSU rRNA". It matches the Rfam family "Bacterial small subunit ribosomal RNA", at positions 60 to 883 of the family's 1533-position model. The record is from RNAcentral. Lineage: Bacteria; Pseudomonadati; Pseudomonadota; Gammaproteobacteria.